RNAcentral lists this long non-coding RNA (400 nucleotides) under Carica papaya (papaya). RNAcentral describes it as "long non-coding RNA (CPAP_LNC004936)". Lineage: Eukaryota; Viridiplantae; Streptophyta; Magnoliopsida; Brassicales; Caricaceae. The record is from RNAcentral.
UUUUACGUGAUAAUGCAUGUUUUAUGAUCAUAUAUGAACUUAUUAAUUUGUAUGUGAAAUUUAAAUAAUUUAAUGCUUGAAAUAAAUGUUGAUAUGUGAUGUAAUUGACGGUGGAAAAAUGAUUAAACAUGAAAUGAUAUAUAGGCAUGAGAAAUAUGUAUUCCUAUUGGCAUGCAUAAUUCAUAAAUUAUUUUGUGAUGUUUUUUAUUUAUGAAGGGUUUUUGUUUCUCGCCCAUUCUGGUAUGAAAAGACGUGAGAGGACUACUCCCUAUGGAUGACAGUGUACCAUCUGACGAGAGUGUAGGAAUCACCUUUGGUAAAGUAUGGCUAUGGCGAUAGUUAAUAUGUAUGAUCACUGUGAUUGGCACGACCAUGGUAAUAGAUUGUGUCAUGAUUUGGC